Molecule: small nuclear RNA, 194 nt
Organism: Phyllostomus hastatus (greater spear-nosed bat)
Lineage: Eukaryota; Metazoa; Chordata; Mammalia; Chiroptera; Phyllostomidae
Product: U2 spliceosomal RNA
Exons: 1
Source: RefSeq, a predicted model, not a curated record
AUUGCUUCUUGGCCUUUUGGCUAAGAUCAAGUGUAUCUGUUCUUAUCAGCCUAAAAAAAAAGAAGAAAGAGGGAAAAGGGAAAAAAUUCUGUAAGAGCUUAUUAGGACUUCAUGAUCUUGCAUCAGUAUGUACCUAAAAAGCUAUUCAGCACCUAGAUUCAUUUGGGAGGUGGUUAUGUUGUGGGUAGCUGUAA